CCUACGGGAGGCUGCAGUAGGGAAUCUUCCACAAUGGGCGAAAGCCUGAUGGAGCAACGCCGCGUGGGUGAAGAAGGUCUUCGGAUCGUAAAACCCUGUUGUUAGAGAAGAAAGUGCGUGAGAGUAACUGUUCACGUUUCGACGGUAUCUAACCAGAAAGCCACGGCUAACUAAGUGCCAGCAGCCGCGGUAAUACGUAGGUGGCAAGCGUUAUCCGGAUUUGUUGGGCGUAAAGGGAACGCAGGCGGGCUUUUAAGUCUGAUGUGAAAGCCUUCGGCUUAACCGGAGUAGUGCAUUGGAAACUGGGAGACUUGAGUGCAGAAGAGGAGAGUGGAACUCCAUGUGUAGCGGUGAAAUGCGUAGAUAUAUGGAAGAACACCAGUGGCGAAAGCGGCUCUCUGGUCUGUAACUGACGCUGAGGUUCGAAAGCGUGGGUAGCAAACAGGAUUAGAUACCCUUGUAGUC
RNAcentral lists this ribosomal RNA (465 nucleotides) under uncultured bacterium. Its description in RNAcentral is "partial 16S ribosomal RNA". It matches the Rfam family "Bacterial small subunit ribosomal RNA", at positions 338 to 795 of the family's 1533-position model. The record is from RNAcentral.